RNAcentral lists this ribosomal RNA (2881 nucleotides) under Burkholderia multivorans. Its description in RNAcentral is "23S ribosomal RNA". It matches the Rfam family "Bacterial large subunit ribosomal RNA". Lineage: Bacteria; Pseudomonadati; Pseudomonadota; Betaproteobacteria; Burkholderiales; Burkholderiaceae. The record is from RNAcentral.
GGUCAAGCGAACAAGUGCAUGUGGUGGAUGCCUUGGCGAUCACAGGCGAUGAAGGACGCGGUAGCCUGCGAAAAGCCCCGGGGAGCUGGCAAACAAGCUUUGAUCCGGGGAUGUCCGAAUGGGGAAACCCACUCCUUAUGGAGUAUCCAUAGCUGAAUACAUAGGCUAUGUGAAGCGAACGCGGUGAACUGAAACAUCUAAGUAACCGCAGGAAAAGAAAUCAACCGAGAUUCCCAAAGUAGUGGCGAGCGAAAUGGGAUGAGCCUUGUACUCUUUAUUUGUAUUGUUAGCCGAACGCUCUGGAAAGUGCGGCCAUAGCAGGUGAUAGCCCUGUAGGCGAAAACAGUAUGAAAGAACUAGGUGUACGACAAGUAGGGCGGGACACGUGAAAUCCUGUCUGAAGAUGGGGGGACCAUCCUCCAAGGCUAAAUACUCGUGAUCGACCGAUAGUGAACCAGUACCGUGAGGGAAAGGCGAAAAGAACCCCGGGAGGGGAGUGAAAUAGAUCCUGAAACCGCAUGCAUACAAACAGUCGGAGCCUCGUAAGGGGUGACGGCGUACCUUUUGUAUAAUGGGUCAGCGACUUACGUUCAGUAGCAAGCUUAACCGUAUAGGGCAGGCGUAGCGAAAGCGAGUCCGAAUAGGGCGUUCAGUUGCUGGGCGUAGACCCGAAACCAGGUGAUCUAUCCAUGGCCAGGAUGAAGGUGCGGUAACACGUACUGGAGGUCCGAACCCACUAACGUUGAAAAGUUAGGGGAUGAGCUGUGGAUAGGGGUGAAAGGCUAAACAAACCUGGAAAUAGCUGGUUCUCUCCGAAAACUAUUUAGGUAGUGCCUCGUGUCUCACCUUCGGGGGUAGAGCACUGUCAUGGUUGGGGGGUCUAUUGCAGAUUACCCCGCCAUAGCAAACUCCGAAUACCGAAGAGUGCAAUCACGGGAGACAGACAUCGGGUGCUAACGUCCGGUGUCAAGAGGGAAACAACCCAGACCGCCAGCUAAGGUCCCCAAAUAUGGCUAAGUGGGAAACGAAGUGGGAAGGCUAAAACAGUCAGGAGGUUGGCUUAGAAGCAGCCACCCUUUAAAGAAAGCGUAAUAGCUCACUGAUCGAGUCGUCCUGCGCGGAAGAUGUAACGGGGCUAAGCCAUAUACCGAAGCUGCGGAUGCGAGCUUGCUCGCAUGGUAGGAGAGCGUUCCGUAAGCCUGCGAAGGUGCCUUGUAAAGGGUGCUGGAGGUAUCGGAAGUGCGAAUGCUGACAUGAGUAGCGAUAAAGGGGGUGAAAGGCCCCCUCGCCGUAAGCCCAAGGUUUCCUACGCAACGUUCAUCGGCGUAGGGUGAGUCGGCCCCUAAGGCGAGGCAGAAAUGCGUAGCUGAUGGGAAGCAGGUCAAUAUUCCUGCACCAUUGUUAGAUGCGAUGGGGGGACGGAUCGCGGAAGGUUGUCCGGGUGUUGGACGUCCCGGUCGCUGCAUUGGAGAAGGCGCUUAGGCAAAUCCGGGCGCAGGAUUCAAGGGUGUGGCGCGAGCGACUUCGGUCGCGAAGCAAUUGGAAGUGGUUCCAAGAAAAGCCUCUAAGCUUCAGUCUAACGAUGACCGUACCGCAAACCGACACAGGUGGGCGAGAUGAGUAUUCUAAGGCGCUUGAGAGAACUCGGGAGAAGGAACUCGGCAAAUUGGUACCGUAACUUCGGGAUAAGGUACGCCCUUGUAGCUUGACUGGCCUGCGCCAGGAGGGUGAAGGGGUUGCAAUAAACUGGUGGCUGCGACUGUUUAAUAAAAACACAGCACUCUGCAAACACGAAAGUGGACGUAUAGGGUGUGACGCCUGCCCGGUGCCGGAAGAUUAAAUGAUGGGGUGCAAGCUCUUGAUUGAAGUCCCGGUAAACGGCGGCCGUAACUAUAACGGUCCUAAGGUAGCGAAAUUCCUUGUCGGGUAAGUUCCGACCUGCACGAAUGGCGUAACGAUGGCCACACUGUCUCCUCCCGAGACUCAGCGAAGUUGAAGUGUUUGUGAUGAUGCAAUCUACCCGCGGCUAGACGGAAAGACCCCAUGAACCUUUACUGUAGCUUUGCAUUGGACUUUGAACCGAUCUGUGUAGGAUAGGUGGGAGGCUAUGAAACCGGAACGCUAGUUUCGGUGGAGCCGUCCUUGAAAUACCACCCUGGUUUGUUUGAGGUUCUAACCUUGGUCCGUGAUCCGGAUCGGGGACAGUGCAUGGUAGGCAGUUUGACUGGGGCGGUCUCCUCCCAAAGGGUAACGGAGGAGUACGAAGGUACGCUAGGUACGGUCGGAAAUCGUGCUGAUAGUGCAAUGGCAUAAGCGUGCUUAACUGCGAGACCGACAAGUCGAGCAGGUGCGAAAGCAGGUCAUAGUGAUCCGGUGGUUCUGUAUGGAAGGGCCAUCGCUCAACGGAUAAAAGGUACUCUGGGGAUAACAGGCUGAUACCGCCCAAGAGUUCAUAUCGACGGCGGUGUUUGGCACCUCGAUGUCGGCUCAUCUCAUCCUGGGGCUGUAGCCGGUCCCAAGGGUAUGGCUGUUCGCCAUUUAAAGAGGUACGUGAGCUGGGUUUAAAACGUCGUGAGACAGUUUGGUCCCUAUCUGCCGUGGGCGUUGGAUAUUUGAAGGGGGCUGCUCCUAGUACGAGAGGACCGGAGUGGACGAACCUCUGGUGUACCGGUUGUGACGCCAGUCGCAUCGCCGGGUAGCUAUGUUCGGAAGAGAUAACCGCUGAAAGCAUCUAAGCGGGAAACUCGCCUUAAGAUGAGAUAUCCCUGGAGGCUUGACCUCCUUGAAGGGUCGUUCGAGACCAGGACGUUGAUAGGUCGGGUGUGUAAGCGCAGUAAUGCGUUCAGCUAACCGAUACUAAUUGCCCGUAAGGCUUGAUCCU